AUGCUGGUGGAUUGGGUACGCGAGCAUUGCCACAAUGGAACCCUCUUGCAAACUAUGGACACAAGGUUCCAUGGUAACUAUGACAAGGACAAGGCCAGCAUGGUGCUGAAGCUAGGGCUCUUGUGCUUGCAUCCGUUGCCCAGUGCGAGGCCUAGCAUGAAACAAGUCAUGGAGUACCUCGAGGGAGAGACCGCGCUACCAGAGCUAGCACCCACACAUAUCAACAACGUCAACGUGAUGCAAACCAGAGGAUUUCCUGACCUAACGACGAGCAUCGGCACAUUCUCCGGUCUCUCAGGGGGGCGAUGA
RNAcentral lists this ribosomal RNA (309 nucleotides) under Triticum aestivum (bread wheat). RNAcentral's name for it is "partial small subunit ribosomal RNA". Lineage: Eukaryota; Viridiplantae; Streptophyta; Magnoliopsida; Poales; Poaceae. The record is from RNAcentral.